Gorilla gorilla gorilla (western lowland gorilla) is the source of this 108-nucleotide ribosomal RNA. The record is from Ensembl. NCBI's taxonomy places the organism in Eukaryota, Metazoa, Chordata, Mammalia, Primates, Hominidae.
CUGUGUGGCCAUGCCACCCUAAACGCAUCUGUUUGGCAUAGCUAAGCGGGAUUGGGCCUGGUUAGUAAAUGGAUGGAGAAUGCCUGGGAAUACUGGGUGCUAUAUGCU